GAUGAAGAACGCAGCGAAAUGCGAUAAGUAAUGUGAAUUGCAGAAUUCAGUGAAUCAUCGAAUCUUUGAACGCACAUUGCGCCCGCCAGUAUUCUGGCGGGCAUGCCUGUUCGAGCGUCAUUACAACCCUCAGGCCCCCGGGCCUGGCGUUGGGGAUCGGCGAGGCGCCCCCCGCGGGCACGCGCCGUCCCCCAAAUACAGUGGCGGUCCCGCCGCAGCUUCCAUUGCGUAGUAGCUAACACCUCGCAACUGGAGAGCGGCGCGGCCAUGCCGUAAAACACCCAACUUCUGAAUGUUGACCUCGAAUCAGGUAGGAAUACCCGCUGAACUUAAGCAUAUCAAUAAGCGAGGA
RNAcentral lists this unclassified non-coding RNA (352 nucleotides) under soil metagenome. Its description in RNAcentral is "partial contains 5.8S ribosomal RNA, internal transcribed spacer 2, and large subunit ribosomal RNA". The stretch from base 1 to 120 matches the Rfam family "5.8S ribosomal RNA", at positions 35 to 154 of the family's 154-position model. The record is from RNAcentral.